Oryctolagus cuniculus (rabbit) is the source of this 2088-nucleotide non-coding RNA. Lineage: Eukaryota; Metazoa; Chordata; Mammalia; Lagomorpha; Leporidae. The record is from RefSeq and is a predicted model, not a curated record.
GGCCCUGAUCACCAGGACUGGGCCAGGCCAAAGCCAGGAGCUUCUUGGGGUUCUCCCACGUGAGUGCAGGGCCCCAAGGACCUGGACCAUCUUCCGUUGCUUUCCCAGGUGCAUUAGCAGGAAGCUGUAUUGGAAGAGGAGCAGCUGGGACUCGAACUGAUGCCCAUAUGGGGUGCCCACGCUGUAGAUGGUGGCUUCACCCACUAUACCACAGUGCCAGCCCCUCGGCUGCUUUUUUUUAAUGACCUUUUCUUCAUCUGUCCUUUUCCUAGUUCUUUGGCUCCAUUUUUGGUUUUGCUCUUCGCUGAUUGCCGUAAUCUUUGUUUCGUCGAAGAGGGCUGAUGACAGAGCUUCAGAUGAGCUGAACUUUCUCUGUUUCAGGCCUCUCCCACACCCCUGAUGCUUGUGGGUGAAGCCACUCUGCCAGGCCAGUCCUGCUGGCCACCGGGUGGGUGGCAUGGACUCUUCCUGCAUGUCCUGUGGUCAGGGCGCCAGCCAGAAUGAGCCUCGGGUCACUCGGGUCGCCCUGUGGAAGUCUGGGCCAGGGUUUGUGAAACACCAGCUCCAUGUACGACACUGGGCUCGGUGUCUGCAAUUCACUUCAGUUCCCACACUGACUGCCUGGACUUGGUGUAGACCCCACUGGUCGAGCCUGGGCCCCCCAAGAUGCCUCACUUCCGGUGAGUCUUCGGAAUAUUCAUGGAAGUGCAUGGCAUGAAAAAAAAUCUUUGGAUUUUGAAUCUUUUACACCAAAAUUUAUUAUUCUUACUGGUUUUUGAGAGAGCAGGAGACAGGAAAAUCUCCCACUUGCUGGGACACCCUCAUGAAUGCCUGAGGGGCCAGGCACUGAAGCUGGGAGCCAGGAGUCAACCCAGGACUCCUGCAUGGGUGGCAGGGACCCAACUCCUUGGGCCAGCACUGCCACUGCCCAGGGUCUGCGUUAGCUGGAAAGUGGAGUCAGGAGCCAGAGCUGGGUGUUGGAGUCAGGAGCCAGAGCUGGGUGUCGAGUUCAGGCACCGCCAUAUGGCACGUGGGGGUCUGCACUGCUAGGCCACACACCUACAGCUGAAUUUAUCCUGUAGUUCUCGUCUCCGUGAACACUUGAAAUGCUUGUACUUCUGACUGCUUGACUGUCAGUCAGGGCUUCCCCGCCCCCUUUGUAAAUUCAGAGAUUGGCUAAGCCUGGUUAGGAUGGCCCGCAGACCUCAGGAAGGCCACUGUGUGGGCACAGCUGAUUCCAUCACGGGCACUGGAGGUGGGCCCUGGCUCCCCGUGCUCCCCAGAGCUGGGCACUGGAGGUGGGCCCCGGCUCCCCGUGCUCCCCAGAGCUGGGCACUGGAGGUGGGCCCCGGCUCCCCGUGCUCCCCAGAGCUGGGCACUGGAGGUGGGCCCCGGCUCCCUGUGCUCCCCAGAGCUGGGCACUGGAGGUGGGCCCUGGCUCCCUGUGCUCCCCAGAGCUGGGCACUGGAGGUGGGCCCUGGCUCCCUGUGUUCCCCAGAGCUGGGCACUGGAGGUGGGCCCUGGCUCCCUGUGCUCCCCAGAGCUGGGCACUGGAGGUGGGCCCUGACUCCCUGUGCUCCCCAGAGCUGGGCACUGGAGGUGGGCCCUGACUCCCUGUGCUCCCCAGAGCUGGGCACUGGAGGUGGGCCCUGGCUCCCUGUGUUCCCCAGAGCUGGGCACUGGAGGUGGGCCCUGGCUCCCUGUGCUCCCCAGAACUGGGCACUGGAGGUGGGCCCCGGCUCCCUGUGCUCCCCAGAGCUGGGCACUGGAGGUGGGCCCCGGCUCCCUGUGCUCCCCAGAGCUGGGCACUGGAGGUGGGCCCUGGCUCCCUGUGUUCCCCAGAGCUGGGCACUGGAGGUGGGUCCUGGCUCCCCAUGCUCCCCAGAGCUGGGCACUGGAGGUGGGCCCCGGCUCCCUGUGCUCCCCAGAGCUGGGCACUGGAGGUGGGCCCUGACUCCCCGUGCUCCCCAGAGCUGGGCACUGGAGGUGGGUCCUGGCUCCCUGUGCUCCCCAGAGCUGGGCACUGGAGGUGGGCCCGGCUCCCUGUGCUCCCCAGAGCUGGGUGUUGGAGGUGGGCCCUGACUCACU